RNAcentral lists this small nuclear RNA (102 nucleotides) under Paramuricea clavata. Lineage: Eukaryota; Metazoa; Cnidaria; Anthozoa; Malacalcyonacea; Plexauridae. The record is from RNAcentral.
GUACAGUACAUAUAAUAAAGUUGGAACGAACGAUACAGAGAAGAUUAGCAUGGCUCCUGGCGCAAGGAUGACACGCAAAUUCGUGAAGCGUUCCAAAUUUUU